Molecule: ribosomal RNA, 637 nt
Filed under: uncultured eukaryote
Lineage: Eukaryota
Description: partial 18S ribosomal RNA
Source: RNAcentral
CUCAACAAUAUCUUGACCGGGAAGAGAAGGCCACUGGGAGAGAGAGAAACUUUUUGGCCCCUUUCAACCGGUCCUCGACCGGACGAGCACAACUGGUCUACCGGUUGAACCGGUUGAGCCAUUUUUUUGGCUCAACACUCAACCUUUUUCAACUUAAAACCUUUUAACACAAGUUUGAAAAUCAUUUAACACAAGGUUUUAGUUGAAAACAUGAAAUCAUCCAAUUCUUAAGAUAUUUAAAACAAUAUUACUCUUGGAUGAUUUUGGUGCAUAAAUAAAGAAUGAAAUGCAUGAAAGUCCUAGUGCACCAACAACCUUACAAAGAGAUCUUAAGAAGCUUUGGUCUUGAAAAACUCUUCUCUUUGAGGUGGUCUUCUUCUUCAUGAUUUCUCCUUGGCUUGAUUUGUCUUUGGAUUGCCACUUUGGAAGUCGUUUUGCCUAAUCACACUUGAAAUAUGAUCAUUAGUUCUAAACCUUGUUUUGUUAUUAUCAAAAUCAAGAUUAACUAAACAUUGGUUUCACAAUAUAUAUUGGAGAAUACUAGAAGAUAAUCUUGUAUUUUCAUAGGAUAACAUUUUUGAAUGGUUAUCUUGAUGAAAACAUCUAUAUGAUGUUACCAAAACAUUUUCAUAGCAAA